RNAcentral lists this ribosomal RNA (371 nucleotides) under uncultured organism. RNAcentral's name for it is "partial 16S ribosomal RNA". It matches the Rfam family "Bacterial small subunit ribosomal RNA", at positions 527 to 896 of the family's 1533-position model. The record is from RNAcentral.
GUAGGGUCCAAGCGUUAAUCGGAAUUACUGGGCGUAAAGCGUGCGCAGGCGGUUGUGCAAGACCGAUGUGAAAUCCCCGGGCUUAACCUGGGAAUUGCAUUGGUGACUGCACGGCUAGAGUGUGUCAGAGGGGGGUAGAAUUCCACGUGUAGCAGUGAAAUGCGUAGAGAUGUGGAGGAAUACCGAUGGCGAAGGCAGCCCCCUGGGAUAACACUGACGCUCAUGCACGAAAGCGUGGGGGGAGCAAACAGGAUUAGAUACCCUGGUAGUCCACGCCCUAAACGAUGUCAACUAGUUGUUGGGGAUUCAUUUCCUUAGUAACGUAGCUAACGCGUGAAGUUGACCGCCUGGGGAGUACGGUCGCAAGAUUA